GUAGUCCACGCCGUAAACGAUGAGUACUAGGUGUAGGGGGUAUCGACCCCCUCUGUGCCGAAGCUAACGCGAUAAGUACUCCGCCUGGGGACUACGGCCGCAAGGCUAAAACUCAAAGGAAUUGACGGGGGCCCGCACAAGCAGCGGAGCGUGUGGUUUAAUUCGAUGAUACGCGAAGAACCUCACCCAGGUUUGACAUGCACGUGGUACCGAUCCGAAAGGUGAGGGACCCCUCGGGGAGCGUGCACAGGUGUUGCAUGGCCGUCGUCAGCUCGUGCCGUGAGGUGUUGGGUUAAGUCCCGCAACGAGCGCAACCCUUGUCGCCAGUUGUAUUUUUCUGGCGAGACUGCCGAGAAAACCUCGGA
RNAcentral lists this ribosomal RNA (365 nucleotides) under uncultured bacterium. RNAcentral describes it as "bacterial SSU rRNA". It matches the Rfam family "Bacterial small subunit ribosomal RNA", at positions 790 to 1167 of the family's 1533-position model. The record is from RNAcentral.